RNAcentral lists this small nuclear RNA (77 nucleotides) under Equus caballus (horse). RNAcentral describes it as "U4 spliceosomal RNA". It matches the Rfam family "U4 spliceosomal RNA", at positions 1 to 77 of the family's 138-position model. Rfam says of the family: U4 small nuclear RNA (U4 snRNA) is a component of the major U2-dependent spliceosome. The structure of U4 snRNA from yeast and human has been reported. U4 snRNA presents a k-turn RNA motif in the 5p-SL related to recognition of Snu13 protein. The record is from Rfam by way of RNAcentral. Lineage: Eukaryota; Metazoa; Chordata; Mammalia; Perissodactyla; Equidae.
GGCUUUGUGCAGUGGCAGUAUCGCAGCCAAUGAGGUUUUUUGGAGGCGCGAUUACUGCUAAUUGAAACCGACAAAUG